This is a long non-coding RNA of Lampris incognitus (smalleye Pacific opah), 364 nucleotides long. RefSeq lists it as uncharacterized. NCBI's taxonomy places the organism in Eukaryota, Metazoa, Chordata, Actinopteri, Lampriformes, Lampridae. The transcript has 3 exons. The record is from RefSeq and is a predicted model, not a curated record.
GGGUACACACGUAAAGGAUGAACAAGGAAGACCAAGCACUGAACCCUGGGGGACGCCUUUGGACAGAGGAGCGUUGAAGGAGACCAGAGAUAGUUUUGGAGGAGGCUGCAGGACAGAUGAAUUCAGAGGAAAAGGAGAAGAAAAGGGGAUGACAGAAAAGACAACGACGGAGGUAGAGAGCAGACCACAUCACACAACAACGUUGUAUCCGGCCAAUUACCCCACUCUUCCAAGCCAUCCCAGUCGCUGCUCCACCCCCUGUUGAUCCGGGGAGGGCUGCAGACUACCACAUGCGUUCUCUGAUACAUGUGGAGUUGCCAGCCGCUUCUUUUCACUUGACAGUGAGGAGUUUCGCCAGGGGGAC